Long non-coding RNA from Homo sapiens (human), 1468 nucleotides. RefSeq lists it as uncharacterized. NCBI's taxonomy places the organism in Eukaryota, Metazoa, Chordata, Mammalia, Primates, Hominidae. The transcript has 2 exons. The record is from RefSeq and is a predicted model, not a curated record.
AGCAGAGACGGGGUUUUACUGUGUUAGCCAGGAUGGUCUCGGUCUCCUGACCUCGUGAUCUACCCGCCUCAGCCUCCCAAAGUGUUGGGAUUACAGGCAUGAGCCACCGCGCCCAGCCGUCUUGUCAAAAUACUCUAAGACUUCAUCUGUUUAGAAUCAAAAGUGCGGAAGACCUGGGAAUUAUGUAAUAAGGAUAGCAGAAUAAUCCUCGUCACUGACAGGUGGUGAGCUGUAAAGUGUUCUUUUGUUGCAGUGGCAGAGAUUUCAGCAAUGGAGGGAAAUCCAGUGGCCAAGAUGCUUACCUGUCUCGGUGUCCAGCAUGUGUCCUGGAGGAGUGCCCCUAAAGCACCUUCAGCUGUUUAUUUAAACACUUGACUCCAGGCUCUGAUGCAUUUUAAUUUUUCAACAUUUAAAUUUAGCUGUUUUAAUGAGGUUUUAGUUUUAAUAAGUAACAAAAGAUUUUUUCAGUAUUAAUUAUCAUGAGGUCUUAAACUCUGUAAUCUAUAUAAAACUCAGAGAGAACCUGUCUUGAGUAGUUUAAAUCUCUAAUUAAAUCAGUAUUUCUACCUAGCAACAGAGUAGCAAAAGUAUUAAUUCAGUGGUUCUCAAUAGGGGUAGGGGAGCAGAUUUUGACCGCCAGCCCAGGGCACAUUUGGCAAUGUCAAGAUGUUUUUCGCUGUCAUAACUUACGGAGGGGAUAGGUGCUACUGGCAUCUAGUGGGUAGAGGUCACGGAUGCUGCUGAAUAUCCUGCAGAGCUCAGGACAGCCCCUAUCUCCAUAAAAACUUUUCUGGCCCAGAAUGUCAAUAGUGCAACUGUUGAGAAACCUUCUAUAAAAUGAUUGGUGUGGGUAAGAGAAUAUACUAAAAUGCUAAAAUAGCAGGCUUGAAAUUAUUUGCAUAUCAGGAGAGUGGAGUUUAUAACUGACUGACUAAAAACUCUGGUGUAGGACCUAUCCUCCAGAGGCGAUGCUAAAUCUGCGGAUAGGACACUAAAUCAGCAUCUGUAAAAUUUGAAACAUAUCUCCACGGUGGGGUCAGACCAAAGAAUGGUAAAUGUUGCUUUGAUUUUAAAAAGUUGGAAAUGAUGUUUCUCAGAGGAAAUACUAGGUCUCAGUUGAGCUGUGAGAGGGGGCAGGUUGCUAUGUUUUUUUCUCUACAAUAGUGCACAGUGUCUUUUGAAUGGGAGAAGUUCUGAAUACCCUACUGAAGUAGCCCCUGCUGCAGUGUUCUCUACCAUGACAUGCUCUUUUUGCUUUCCCAGCACUUUUAUUAACUUUUAAUUAAUUUUUAUUGUUCAUGUUGCUAUUGCUAUUAGUCUACUGUCUGUCUCAUUGGACUGUAAGCUCUAUGAGAGUGGCAAAUAUAUAGUAUCACUUAAUAUUGUAUGUCUAGUAGCUACCAGAGUGCCUGCCGUUAUAACGAGCAUGGAUAAAUUUAAUAUUUUUGAAUUAAAUGAAUGAAUUAAA